GACGAACGCUGGCGGCGUGCUUAACACAUGCAAGUCGAACGGAAAAGCCCUGCUUUUGUGGGGUGCUCGAGUGGCGAACGGGUGAGUAACACGUGAGUAACCUGCCCUUGACUUUGGGAUAACUUCAGGAAACUGGGGCUAAUACCGGAUAGGAGCUCCUGCUGCAUGGUGGGGGUUGGAAAGUUUCGGCGGUUGGGGAUGGACUCGCGGCUUAUCAGCUUGUUGGUGGGGUAGUGGCUUACCAAGGCUUUGACGGGUAGCCGGCAUGAGAGGGUGACCGGCCACAUUGGGACUGAGAUACGGCCCAGACUCCUACGGGAGGCAGCAGUGGGGAAUAUUGCACAAUGGGCGGAAGCCUGAUGCAGCAACGCCGCGUGCGGGAUGACGGCCUUCGGGUUGUAAACCGCUUUCGCCUGUGACCAAGCGUGAGUGACGGUAAUGGGUAAAGAAGCACCGGCUAACUACGUG
RNAcentral lists this ribosomal RNA (468 nucleotides) under uncultured bacterium. Its description in RNAcentral is "partial 16S ribosomal RNA". It matches the Rfam family "Bacterial small subunit ribosomal RNA", at positions 28 to 507 of the family's 1533-position model. The record is from RNAcentral.